This 477-nucleotide ribosomal RNA is filed under the name uncultured soil bacterium. Its description in RNAcentral is "bacterial SSU rRNA". It matches the Rfam family "Bacterial small subunit ribosomal RNA", at positions 26 to 498 of the family's 1533-position model. The record is from RNAcentral.
AGAUUGAACGCUGGCGGCAGGCCUAACACAUGCAAGUCGAGCGGCAGCACGGGUACUUGUACCUGGUGGCGAGCGGCGGACGGGUGAGUAGUGCCUAGGAAUCUGCCUGAUAGUGGGGGGAUAACGCUCGGAAACGGACGCUAAUACCGCAUACGUCCUACGGGAGAAAGCAGGGGACCUUCGGGCCUUGCGCUAUCAGAUGAGCCUAGGUCGGAUUAGCUAGUUGGUGGGGUAAUGGCUCACCAAGGCGACGAUCCGUAACUGGUCUGAGAGGAUGAUCAGUCACACUGGAACUGAGACACGGUCCAGACUCCUACGGGAGCAGCAGUGGGGAAUAUUGGACAAUGGGCGAAAGCCUGAUCCAGCCAUGCCGCGUGUGUGAAGAAGGUCUUCGGAUUGUAAAGCACUUUAAGUUGGAGGAAGGCAGUUACCUAAUACGUAUCUGUUUUGACGUUACCGACAGAAUAAGCACCGGCU